GAAUAGCCCCGGUUGAAGUGGCAUCUUUUUUGUCAUUAGGGAAACUGAACGGGGACAAAAAAAUAAAACGGAAAACGGGACUGCUU
RNAcentral lists this small RNA (86 nucleotides) under Flavobacterium indicum GPTSA100-9 = DSM 17447. RNAcentral's name for it is "Flavo-1 RNA". It matches the Rfam family "Flavo-1 RNA". The record is from Rfam by way of RNAcentral. Lineage: Bacteria; Pseudomonadati; Bacteroidota; Flavobacteriia; Flavobacteriales; Flavobacteriaceae.